RNAcentral lists this ribosomal RNA (381 nucleotides) under uncultured Halobacteria archaeon. RNAcentral's name for it is "bacterial SSU rRNA". It matches the Rfam family "Archaeal small subunit ribosomal RNA", at positions 471 to 851 of the family's 1478-position model. The record is from RNAcentral. Lineage: Archaea; Methanobacteriati; Methanobacteriota; Halobacteria.
UAACCCCAGCGCCACAAGUGGCAAUCGAUUUUAUUGGGUCUAAAGCGUCCGUAGUCGGUUUGAUCAAUCUCUUGUGAAAGCGUAAGGCUUAACCUUACGAACUGCAGGAGAUAUUGUCAAACUAGGGACCGGGAGGAGUUAGGAGUAUUUCUGAGGGAGCGGUAAAAUGUUAUAAUCUCAGACAGACUACCUGUGGCGAAGGCGCCUAACUAGAACGGAUCCGACGAUGAGGGACGAAGGCCAGGGGAGCGAACCGGAUUAGAUACCCGAGUAGUCCUGGCAGUAAACGCUGUGUGCUAGGUGUUGUACAUUCUUAAAGGAUGUGCAGUAUCGAAGCGAAGGCGAUAAGCACACCACCUGGGAAGUACGGUCGCAAGACUG